CACGUAGGGGGCGAGCGUUGUCCGGAAUCAUUGGGCGUAAAGAGCUCGUAGGCGGCUCAGUAAGUCGGGUGUGAAACCCUCAGGCUCAACCUGGGGACGCCACUCGAUACUGCUGUGGCUAGAGUCCAGUAGGGGAGUGUGGAAUUCCCGGUGUAGCGGUGAAAUGCGCAGAUAUCGGGAGGAACACCAGCGGCGAAGGCGGCACUCUGGGCUGGAACUGACGCUGAGGAGCGAAAGCGUGGGCAGCAAACAGG
This 254-nucleotide ribosomal RNA is filed under the name uncultured bacterium. RNAcentral describes it as "partial 16S ribosomal RNA". It matches the Rfam family "Bacterial small subunit ribosomal RNA", at positions 524 to 776 of the family's 1533-position model. The record is from RNAcentral.